AUUUUAACUUAGUGAGACUCUGACGGUAGCUUUGAACGGUAUCUGAGAGACGCGGGUUAGAGUCCUGCUUCGUUAAAAU
RNAcentral lists this microRNA precursor (79 nucleotides) under Heliconius melpomene (postman butterfly). Its description in RNAcentral is "microRNA hme-mir-6311 precursor". The record is from miRBase by way of RNAcentral. Lineage: Eukaryota; Metazoa; Arthropoda; Insecta; Lepidoptera; Nymphalidae.